This is a non-coding RNA of Pocillopora verrucosa, 229 nucleotides long. Lineage: Eukaryota; Metazoa; Cnidaria; Anthozoa; Scleractinia; Pocilloporidae. The record is from RefSeq and is a predicted model, not a curated record.
CGAUCGCUGCAUUAGCGCUGGUUCUGCUGAUGUUGUUUGGGAAAGUAGGAGCAGGUUGUGGGUGUCAGUCAUCAAGUGAAGUCAGUCCCUCCGCUGUUACUCAAAGAGAUUUUUUAGCCUGGAUAGAGGAUCUCCAGAGGAACGUCACAAACCUUCAACAGAAACUGGAAAAGAAAACACAUGAGCUCAAAGUUGUUCACUUAUCGCUUCGAGAUCUUGACGGAAAAUU